UACAGAGGUCUCAAGCGUUGUUCGGAUUCAUUGGGCGUAAAGGGUGCGUAGGUGGCGGGGUUAGUCAGGUGUGAAAUCUCGGAGCUCAACUCCGAAACUGCACUUGAUACUGCCUUGCUAGAGUACUGGAGAGGAGAUUGGAAUUUACGGUGUAGCAGUGAAAUGCGUAGAUAUCGUAAGGAAGACCAGUGGCGAAGGCGAAUCUCUGGACAGUUACUGACACUGAGGCACGAAGGCCAGGGGAGCAAAC
RNAcentral lists this ribosomal RNA (250 nucleotides) under uncultured bacterium. RNAcentral describes it as "partial 16S ribosomal RNA". It matches the Rfam family "Bacterial small subunit ribosomal RNA", at positions 524 to 773 of the family's 1533-position model. The record is from RNAcentral.